Molecule: ribosomal RNA, 436 nt
Filed under: Pagrus major (red seabream)
Lineage: Eukaryota; Metazoa; Chordata; Actinopteri; Spariformes; Sparidae
Description: partial 16S ribosomal RNA
Rfam family: Bacterial large subunit ribosomal RNA
Source: RNAcentral
UGAAUGGCAUCACGAGGGCUUAACUGUCUCCCCUCCCCAGUCAAUGAAAUUGAUCUCCCCGUGCAGAAGCGGGGAUAAUUCCAUAAGACGAGAAGACCCUAUGGAGCUUUAGACGUCAGAGCAGCCCAUGUAAAGCACCCCUUAACAAAGGAAAAAACCAAAUGAAGCCUGCCCUAAUGUCUUUGGUUGGGGCGACCGCGGGGAAAUACAAAACCCCCAUGUGGAGUAGGAAUACACAUUCCUAAACCCAAGAGCUCCCGCUCUAAUGAACAGAAAUUCUGACCAAUAAGAUCCGGCACACGCCGAUCAACGGACCGAGUUACCCUAGGGAUAACAGCGCAAUCCCCUUAAAGAGCCCUUAUCGACAAGGGGGUUUACGACCUCGAUGUUGGAUCAGGACAUCCUAAUGGUGCAGCCGCUAUUAAGGGUUCGUUUG